This is a long non-coding RNA of Zalophus californianus (California sea lion), 550 nucleotides long. RefSeq lists it as uncharacterized. The record is from RefSeq and is a predicted model, not a curated record. The transcript has 3 exons. Lineage: Eukaryota; Metazoa; Chordata; Mammalia; Carnivora; Otariidae.
AGCUGGGGGGCCAGGAGCAGCGCGGCGCCCAGGUUGACGUGGGCCGGGAUGGCGAGGGGCACGGCGAGCAGCGGCAGGCCGGCGUGGCGCCCGUAGGCCCAGUACAGGAGACUCUAUACCUUCUGGCACGGCCGAGGAAACUGAGGCUCAGAGAUCUGCGACCACAGCUCCCAGGCACCACGGCUGGGCAUAUCCAGCCCGGGCCAGGCUGAGCCCAGACCCUCUCGCUGUUUGGGGCUGGCCUGGUGCUCAGAAAACCCUCUGCAGGAACUCUCCAUCCUGGGCCUGCCCUGCUCCUGGGGGACCCGGCCACAGGGCUCCCCGGGCUCCUGCAGCGUUGGCGUGAGCAGGACGGGGGGCCCUGGCUUUCAGCACCCUGACUCACCACCGACAGCGGGAAGCAGACGAGCACCAUGACGGCGUGGUGGAGCACCAUGAGGAACUCCUUGUGCAGGUACAGCCAAGCAUUAAGGAGAAAACACUGAGCAAAAGGAGCCAAGAACAGAGAAAAGUUCCUUGUACUUUGAGAGUAAACAAAAAUGAAAAGUGC